Molecule: ribosomal RNA, 253 nt
Filed under: uncultured bacterium
Lineage: Bacteria
Description: partial 16S ribosomal RNA
Rfam family: Bacterial small subunit ribosomal RNA
Source: RNAcentral
UACGUAGGGGGCAAGCGUUGUCCGGAUUUAUUGGGCGUAAAGAGCGUGUAGGCGGCCAAGCAGGUCCGCUGUGAAAACUCGAGGCUCAACCUCGAGACGUCGGUGGAAACCGUUUGGCUAGAGUCCGGAAGAGGAGAGUGGAAUUCCCGGUGUAGCGGUGAAAUGCGCAGAUAUCGGGAGGAACACCGAUGGCGAAGGCAGCACUCUGGGCCGGCACUGACGCUGAGGAGCGAAAGCGUGGGGAGCGAACAGG